RNAcentral lists this ribosomal RNA (800 nucleotides) under uncultured bacterium. Its description in RNAcentral is "bacterial SSU rRNA". It matches the Rfam family "Bacterial small subunit ribosomal RNA", at positions 1 to 803 of the family's 1533-position model. The record is from RNAcentral.
GCCCUUAGAGUUUGAUCCUGGCUCAGGAUGAACGCUGGCGGCGUGCCUAACACAUGCAAGUCGAGCGAGAACCGAAAAGACAGAAUCUUCGGCCGAAGGAUUUUUGGGGAAAGCGGCGGACGGGUGAGUAACGCGUAGGUAACCUGCCCUAUACACGGGGAUAGCCACUGGAAACGGUGAUUAAUACCCGAUAGUCUCUUGUAACGCAUGUUAUGAGAGGGAAAGAUUUAUCGGUAUGGGAUGGACCUGCGUCUGAUUAGCUAGGGGGGGGGGUAAUGGCCUACCAAGGCAACGAUCAGUAGCCGACCUUAGAGGGUGAUCGGCCACACUGGGACUGAGAACGGCCCACACUCCUACGGGAGGCAGCAGUGGGGAAUAUUGCACAAUGGAGGGAACUCUGAUGCAGCACCGCCGCGUGAGUGAUGAAAUAUUUCGAUAUGUAAAGCUCUGUUCUAGGGGAAGAAAAUGACGGUACCCUAGCAGCAAGCCCCGGCUAACUACGUGCCAGCAGCCGCGGUAAUACGUAGGGGGCAAGCGUUAUCCGGAAUUAUUGGGCGUAAAGCGAACGCAGGCGGCCACAAAGGUCAGAGGUGAAAGACAGGGGCUCAACCCCCUGCGAGCCUUUGAAACCAUUUGGCUUGAGCAUAGGAGGGGAAAGUGGAAUUUCUAGUGUAGCGGUGAAAUGCGUAGAUAUUAGAAGGAACACCGGUGGCGAAGGCGACUUUCUGGACUAUGUCUGACGCUGAGGUACGAAAGCGUGGGUAGCGAACAGGAUUAGAUACCCUGGUAGUCCACGCCGU